RNAcentral lists this long non-coding RNA (12747 nucleotides) under Malus domestica (apple). Its description in RNAcentral is "long non-coding RNA (MDOM_LNC008892)". The record is from RNAcentral. Lineage: Eukaryota; Viridiplantae; Streptophyta; Magnoliopsida; Rosales; Rosaceae.
CUCCCUUGCUUUAGCAUCCGAUCCGUUACAUAAGUUAUCCAUGUCUCUUGGGAGUUUGUCAAUUUUUGAGCAUCCUUGCAUUCGGAGUCUUCUAAGAGACUUCAAAUUACAAAUAGUCGUCGGAAGGUUCAAGAGAUAUGAGCAACCAACUAGACACAACUCCUGGAGGCCAACCAAAUGUCCAAUUGAUGAAGCUAUUUUCUCUAUCAGAGUCGCACUUAAGUCAAUCGAGGACACAUUCUUCAUCUGCUCCCCAAAUUCUGGAAUCUUUUUCACAUCUGAGUUGCUAAGACUUAAAGAUUCCAGAGAAUCCAUUUUAAGCUCACUUGGGAGGCUCUCAAGUUUUAAGUAGCAUUCAAAAUUCAAGUUCAAGUUUUUUAAGAUGUGCAAUAGACGGGUGUAUCUCAACUAAAUUGAAACAACCUCGAAGAUUCAACUUCACAAGAUUUGGAACACCACUGAAAUCCGGGUACUCUUCAAUUUACCUGAGUUUCUAAGAUCGAUCCAUCUCAAGUUGGGCAAGUCCUGUACAACAUCGAUAAGAUUCAGAUCAUAUAAAUAAAUAAAUAAAUGAUUAUUUUGUAUAUUAAAUAGCAUUUAUUCAAGGAUGAAUAAUAAUUAUGUACUCACUAGUGAGUACUCUAUAUGCUCAUUUUUGUUUUGGUUCUUGUUCUUUAUUUUUAAAGCCCAAGAAAAAUUAAAUAGCAUGUCCAUUAUUUUUGAAAAUAAUAAAAUAUACUUGUCCAAAAAGUGAGUACUGAUUAGUCACUACCCAAGUGGUAUCAUUUUAUUCAACACUACUCUCAUCACUUUUUUUUUUUUUUAAUGGUAAAAAUACUACUCUUACCACUUUUCCCUCCCAUAACCGAACAAGACUGCUUCCAUACAUGUGAAGUUCAGUAAGGUGGCGCAUGGGAAAGUUGGUUGGAAGAAAAUUAGAAGGAUAUUGAAACCAGUAUAUAUAUCUCAAUGAACACGGAAGAAAUUUAGGGCCUGAAGAAAAGAAAACUUGAUCGAUUGUCAAAAUCCUCAAUCUAUCCAUCUUAGAGAAGGCUUCCCAAUUCCACUCGCGUUUCACAUAUGUUAUAGGCAUGUGUAAUGAUAUGACUUCAAUUGCACUCAAACCCUGACAAUUAAGAAAAAAAGACAAAUUAAUUUCACAUUCAAGUAUAUUAGUGUCAAAAGUUCAUUCAAACUUGGUAUUUUACUUCUUACCAUAUUGGUCGCCAUAUUGGUCGUGAAUACAUGAGAAAUGUCAUCGUUAAGCCACAACCUACUGCGUAGACCAGACUCUUUAGACCUGUGACCAAUAAUUGUCCAUGCCAUUUCUUCUAUCAAAUCAUGCAUCCGUAUGCAUUUUUGGUGAUCUUGAUAGAGGAGAAAUCUCUCAAUUAGUACAUCUAUCACAAUAUGGCUAGAGAUUCCAAAAGAAUUAGAACUAUCUAGACUUUCAAUUACUUGCUUCCUGUAAUACCCUUUGUAGAAACAUGCAACAUCGAGAAAAUGCUCUUCUCCCACUCUUCUAGUGCAUCAUAACUUACUUUAAGUUUAUCAAAAAUAGCUGGAUUAGGAAUUUUUGAUAGAUUAUCCCGUACACUAUGCCAAGCAUCUAGCCCUCUCUUAAACAAAGCCGACCCCAAAGUUUCAAGAGCUAAUGGAAGGCCUCCAGCAUGAUUGUCAUAACAUUCAUCAUAAUUAUCAAUCACAUUAUUAAAAAGAUAGUUAAACACACACACACACACACACACACAUAUAUAUAUAUAUAUAUCACAAUCUUCAUCAGUGCACGAGCCAAAUCCUAUUUAAUAAGCAUAUGAUGGCUAUAUAUAUAUAAAUCACAUUUCAAUAAAAAUCAUAUUUAUAAGACUAAUUCAUAUUCACAAUUGAUACCAAAUAAGAAAUUCAGAUAAUAAACAUAUCUCAUAUAUUCAAGUCACUAUCUAACUAACAUAGGUCCACUGGUCACGCACCGUCGCAUGAGCCGCUGCGGGUGGCGGUUGACUGCCCCGACUCACCGGAAAAAUUCAACUAUCUUUAAAAAUUACCAAAAAUUACAUAAAUGAAGAUCUCAAGGAGUAGAGCAAACUUUAUACCUGUGGCCAAGUCUAAUUUGGCCGGGAAGGCCCUCAAAUUGGCUCGCACCCGUCGAAACCCUAAAGUGGGUGUUCUUCAAUUUGGCUCCCUUGGUGUUCCAACGCCCCAACCACCAAUUGGGUCUUGUUCUUGGGUCCAAGGGAAGUUGAUUAAGGGUGAUGGUGAAUGGUGAUACUCACCAGAAUGACGAAUCGCCGUCAAGAACCCCCGGUUUUUCGGUGGAGUUCUACUCGAAUUAGACCUUAAAAACCCUUGAUUUUUGGUGGAGAUGGAAGGAGGAAGGUAGCUGAGUAGGUUGCAGGUGAUGAAUGGGUGCAAAACGCCUAAAAAAUGAAGGAUUUUGGCCUGACAUUGGCUGGAUCGAAACCAUUUUUUUCAUGGGUGCUUGGGUUUACAAAUUUGGGGGGGGGGGGGGGGGAGGGGCAUCCUUUCGCUCAUUUUCUUUUCUUCUCUUGCCACUCCCGUGGCUUUCUUUUUUUUUUUUUUUUUUUUUUUAAAGCAACACAACUUCAUACGUCCGUAACUAUACUGUUAUAAUCCGGACUCGCAAACGGUUUUCGCCUAUGCGUUCAUGACUUCAAGACCUAUUCGAAAACGUUACUUGUGACCUCGAAAAGUCAACGAGUAAAUAAUAAUUUUCCAAACUUCGCUCUUCAUAACUAGUUUAAUUGAAAUCUAAUUUCAAAUAAAUUAAUAUAAAUUCUCGAAAAAAUAAUAUAAAUCUCAAUAAUACAAAUACGUAGAUUAUAACAGUAAAAUCCAAGAAUGGGAUUUCACGUCUUUACCGUUAGAGACACCGUUAUAUCUUGGAGAUCUACCAAGCAAACGCUAGUUGUGACUUUGUCGAACUAUGCUGAGAUUUUCGCCCUGCAUGAAGCAUCGCGUGAGUGCUUUUGGUUGAGAGAAGUCAUGGGACAUAUUUGAAGCAUUAGUGGUCUUACAUCAGUCGUUGACCCUCCUACGACGAUCUUUGAAGACAAUGCAACAUGUAUCGAGCAGUUAAAGAAGGGAUACAUCAAGGGAGACAACACCAAGCACAUAACGUCGAAGUUCUUUUACUCACACCAACAGCAGCAGCAGCAUCAAAACAUUGAAGUCAAGCAAAUCCGUUCCCAGGAGGAUAACUUGGUCAAUCUCUUCACCAAGUCAUUGCCCAAGUUUACUUUUCAAAAGCUUGUCCAAGGAAUCAUUAUGCGUAAAUUAUCUGAGUUAAAUCGCAUGUAGUUCUCUUAUUUAGAAGUUAUGGCUAGCUCAGGGGGAGUAUCUAGAAGCAUACUUACAUGAUCUUAAUGUACUCUUUUUCCUACGAUUAGGAGCAUUUUUUUCCACUGGGUCUUUGCUACCUAACGAGGUUUUAACGAGGCACCCAUCCUGGGAUGAUCAUACUCCGUUGAGUUCACUACUUUCGUCCUGUUUGACAUUUGUUUUAGAUAUUAUGCAUACUUCUCACCUUUCUCCUUAAUCUAUGGGUUUUCCUCGUGCCUUGGGUAUUACCAUAGUUAGGUUUUGUGAGUUUUACUACAAAUGCAUACUUCCUUAAACUUGAGACUCGCGAUCACCCGUUGUGCCAAUGACUUCAUCAACAAUUCUACCUUAUCGCUGAAUAUCUAAUGCGAUGUUUGUUGAGUAUUUACACACUCAAGGGGGAGUGUUGCAGUCAUAUUUAGAAUAAGAAUGUGAUUGUGUAAAUCCUUAUAGUUAUGGGAAUGUAUCUUAUAUUCCUAUUAAUUAUGAGUUUAUUAUCUAUUAAAUGUUGUAAUCAUAAAAGGAAAGGUUUACCUAUUCUACUACUAUAAAUAAAGGCACAAUGAGGUAAAUUAAACACACCUCACAAUUAAAUCACUCUCUCUUCUCCCUCACUACCUCCGGCCCAUCUCUCUUUCUAAACCCUAAGAUCGUUCAAUCAAAUAGGCCUACAACAAAAACUAGUUUCUUGAGCUUUCAAAAUUUGUAUUUUGAGCUUUAAUUUUAGUUUCUAAUCAACACCAUGACACAAGCCAUAAAGUAACAAAACCAAUAAAAUGUCAACUGAAAACGUUAUAUGUGAAAAAGAACAAUGAAUUACAUGAAAUGAAAACGUCAAAGUAGGCAUGUAGUCAACCUAUGUUGUCACGCCACAAAUUAAAGUACAAUGCGAGCUGGUGACAAAUUUGAGCCACACCGCGGUAAUUCAUGCAAUGUAAAUCUCUCUCAAAGAAGCAACAAGAAAAUCCUCAUGCAAGAGUUCUCCACUUUCUUACUCGUUCAAGAGGAAAGCUGAAAGGACAAGUAUUUUCCAAAAAAAAAAAAAAAAAAGGUGGAAGACAGACUAUGGAAAUUUUCCAGGAAGCAAGAGUUUAGAGUAAGUUCUCAACUUUCUUCUGAGAAAAGAUAUUCAUGUCUCUUUUUCUUUUCUCUUCAGUGAUGCUAAAGCCAACUAGUUAUCUUAUUUCUACAGCCACUUUCCAAUACUUGUUCCAAAGAUUUUCCACAAAAAAAAGUAGAAGACUGACUACAAGGAAAAUAUUUAUGUCACCCACCAUGAAAUUUGUAUAUAGGUUUUUUUCACACAUCUGUUCAUUAGGUCCACUAACAAUGUUGAAGUCAUUGUGGAAUAUGCUGAGAUUUCCCCUGUCAUUUAGACAAACCUUCUCAUGGUUACACCCUACCCCCAGCAAUUGGCAAUAUCAAAUCUGAUAAAACUAGUCAAACAAAUGACAAGCCUUCAAUGCAAGCUGCAAUGUAAGAGUUGAGUUGAAAUGAUCCAUACAUCAAAUAAAAUGAUCAUUCAUAAGAAUCAUGAAACCUAGGCUAAGUUCCAUGGGCUCUUAAGGUCCCUCAUCAAAACAUAGAAUAACCACUGCAUUUGGAUGAUGGUAUUUAAAGUUCCAUGAAAACAAGGCUACACCUUCAGAAACGCACUACAAAAAAAUAGAUAGAGGGGCUUCAAAAUGACUAGAUGCAAACAUUUGAGAGAAAUUUCAAAUGAUACCUUGAAAGUCCUUUGUUGCGUGUCAUUCUACUGCACUACUUGUGUUUUAGUAGUAACUUUGUAGUGCUUUAGUAUAGUUUAUCAGUAGUGUUCUUGUAGUGCAUCUUUAACAAUUAAGUCUAAAGUUUGUCCCUCAUUCAAAGACAUAACAAAACACCACAACUCUAAGUUAUAUACAAAAAACACUUCAAGAGCUCAAUGAAGAAAAAAAAACUUGUCUAUCCACUUGUCAUGCUCUAAUUGAUUCUUAGUUGGAAAAUCCUUCUCCAUCAUCAAGUAAGUUGGUUUUUUUUUUCUUUUCUUUUUUAACUAUUGGGUUUGAAGUGGUUUUCUCUAAAGAUCAAGUAUCGUCAUCUUCCAGGAGAAUCUACUCACUAAAUUCGUUAUCUCUUAUAAGAAGUAAUGCUAGGAAGACAAAAUUUAUAGACUAUAAUUGCAAACUAAAUGAUGUGUCACUAAUAAGAAAUGAGCAUGUUUAUCAACGUUUAAGUAAUAAUUCAAUCAUCAACUUCCAUGUCAUUUAGUUUACAAAACUUAGUCUACAAAUUUAGUCUUUCUAACAUUACUCAUCUUUAAGUUAGGAAAUGAACGAAUUAGUUUUAAAAUGAAAGCGAAAUAUGGUACAACAGAGUUUACAUAGUUUCUACUUCUUUAUACGUACACCAGUUUCUACUUCUUUACACAGUCAAAAUCAAUAAAAUUAACAUAACGAACCGUCGAUGAAUGCCCCGUCACUAAAACGCAGCAUAACAUAUGUCAUAUCUACUGCUUUCCUAGUAAAACCGACAUCUUUAUGGCCACAAACUUACAUGAAUCAACUUCAUGAAAUCUAAUUUCUGAUGAUCAAUAGAAUUCAAUUGUUAUGUAUGUGAUAUCGGCAGGGUUGGAUCAACCGGAGCUUGAAUUUUUCGUUAAGAUCGAACAUAACUGAUUUUUCUGAUUUGCAGUGCCCUUUUAUUAAUGGCAGAACUGAUUCUAUUGUCUAAACCCCUUUGUCUAAAGUAUUGUAAUGAGCAGCCACGGGUACGACACUAUCUUCAAGUGGUGAUAAUCUUUACCACCUUAUUUAGCCAUUUUGGAGAAAAAGUAUUUGAAAAUUAAAAAAAAAAAACAAAUAAAGGAUGAGGUGAAAUUGGCCAGCUCAAUAAUUUUCUUCCCUUUUUUUGAAGCGCAUUCCGGAAACUUACUAAAAAUUUGGGUAAAUUUAUAGACAAGAAACAGUAAUGCAACUUGGCACAAAUAGCAGGAUUUCAAAAACCAAAAGCUGAAUUACUCACUACAAUCCAAUGUCUUCAGGAUUUUAGCAAUUAAUUAUGUCACUAAAUUAAUUGAGCUAUUUCCACGGAGGCUCUACGAAUUAUAAAUUAAUCGGACAUUGUACAAUUACAAAAGGAGCCACCAUGCGCCUCAGAUAGUGUUAUUUGAGAUAGAAUCUAUUAUACUUUGAUUGGUGAAGACAAUGAAAUAACGGAAUAUGUGAAUUGAAAAUGAAUUGAACAUAUGACUCAUUAUCUCUUAGUUCAAGAAGAGACCUGAAAACCUUAGUGACCCAUGUACCACCUUACAACCGUAGAAAAGAAAAACAAUCGUACGGGACAAAGACAAUACACAAUUCUAGAUAUUUCAGUAAUCAAAACAUAAGUUUCUGUGCAAGAGGUAACCUUUUAUAGUCCUUUUGAAUCAUGUGCCCUGCUUCAGUUCCCUUACCAAACUGGAUAAAAGUCUUAUCCAAGGCAAUCCCUCCUAAUCCUGUGUUACAAACGGGUCCAAAAUACUCCAUCCAAGUUCUGCCCAUCACCCAAACAAGCAGGCCCAGUUCUUGUGCGACAUAGCUAACUUUUUACUUGGGACCUAAAAUUGGGUUUCAGUCGAUCAGUCAAAUGGGGCAAUUUUCCCUAUCAAGUCGCUCCGUCUCCCAGUCCCUCUCUCUCAUUUAUUCGACUGGUUGAAGCUUUCAAGUAUCAAGAUUGGCAGAAGCAUCCGCAGAAAUCCAGAUGGGAAGAAAAUCCUGGUACUACUCUAUCACUGCUUCUCUACAAUUUUCCCGGAAAGUUUCUGCAUUUGGGUUUACAGCAAUGCAUUCAUCUCGUCCAUUUCUCUUCUGUGUCCUUUUCUUUUUCGUCUCCAACCUCAGUUUCCCUUCGCUUUCUGUCCCGUUCUUGCCUGCGACGAACAAUAACCUCACCCUCUUAGGCGACGCUUCCAUCACCAACAACGCCAUUAGUCUCACUAAAGAACUCACCACAUGCCCCUCCUCUUUCCCUUCUGCUUCUUCUGGCGUUGGAAGAGCAUUUUACGCCUACCCAAUUCGGUUUCUUGACUUGAAAACCAACGCCACUGCCUCUUUCUUGUGCCGAUUCUCUUUCUCAAUCACUCCAAGUUCCCAAUUGUGUUCUUCUGGAGAUGGCAUUGCGUUUGUGAUCACCCCCGAUGUUGAUUCUCUGGGAUCAUCCAGAGGUGGAGUAUAUGGGACUUCUGGAGCCAUCCUCAGUGUCAAAAGAAUAGUUCUUCGCCAUGGAAUUCGAUCCUAGGUUUGAUCCUAUGGUUGGUGACACCAAUGGUAACCACAUUGGUAUUUAUGUGAACACGGUUGUGUCUGUUGACUGUGUUGAUGUUGUGUCAAGAGGAUUUGAUUUGACAAGUGGGAGGGAGAUUACUCCUUGGAUUGAGUACAGAUGCUGUCAAGCUGAUUCGGGUUUGGGUUGGAUACUCUUGAACUAGGCCUCCAACGUCUCUGCUUAAUGCUCCGAUUGACCUCUUCAACCAGUUCAUGGGUGUCGGUUUCUCUGCCUCGAAUGGGCAGGGCUCUUCAAUUCAUAUUGUUGAUAGGUGGAGAUUCAAGACUUUCAGGUCUCUUCCACCUGGGAUUCUUACAGAUACCUUUGAGGAAGGGGACUGCUUCAUGUGCUCGUCACCAGAAGAUUCAAGUACCAAAAGCAGCCCUGAAAAUCGCUGCCAUGAAAGGAAAACAAAGACAGUGGAGAUGGCUCUUGGGUUGGGAGGUUUAGCUACAUAUGUUGUCUCCAUACUCACGUUUGUUUUUGUCAUUUGUUUUGUGUGUGUGAAGAAGAGAAGGGUCGCAUCAGCUAAGGUUUGUAAAGGGUCUUUGCCCUCUGAGGGAGAAGUGGCAGUGAAAAGGUUUGAGAGGGCUGAUGGGAUCGGUAGUCUGCGUAAUCCUUUCACCACGGAGUUUGCAACUAUGGUGGGUUGUUUGCGGCAGAAGAAUUUGAUUCAGCUUCAUGGGUGGUGUUGUGAGGGUAAUGCGUUAGUCCUGGUGUACGAAUACAUUGCCCAACGGAAGUCUCAACAAAGUUCUCCACAAAAGCUUCAAUUCAGCAGUUGUCCUAUCCUGGAAGCAAAGACUUGAUAUAGUUCUCGCAGUCGCUUCUGCUCUUGCAUAUCUUCACGAGGAGUGUGAGAGGCAAAUAAUUCAGAGAUGUUAAAACUUGCAACAUAAUGCUCAAUGCAGAUUUUAACUCCAAACUAGGGGAUUUUGGUCUAGCAGAAGUGUAUUGAUCACAGUUCCAUCAUUGCAAGAGAAGCAACUAUACCAGCUGGAACAAUGGGAUAUCUUGCUCCAGAAGACGUUUAUUCAGGUGUUCCAACAGUUAAAACUGAUGUUUACAACUUUGGUGUGGUGGUGUUAGAGGUGGCAACGGGAAGAAAGCCGGUGGAGGAUGAUGGAACAGUGGUUGCUGAUUGGGUUUGGAGCAUGUGGGAAAAUGGAAAACUGAUUGAAGUUGCUGAUCUGAGGUAUAUGGGGAAGUUUGAUAUGGAAGAAAUGGAGAGGAUGCUAAUGACUGUACUUGCUUUUGUGCACCCAAACCAUGUGAAGAGGGCAACGGUGAAGGAAGCUGCAAGGAUUCUUAAAGGCAAAACCCCUCUUCCUCUGCUGCCACCAAGAAAACCAAGGGUAAGCCUUCGCCCCGUUUUUCCUGAUGACUGAAGAAAUCACAUUUUGCUGUGGUGUUUGGCCAAGUCUCGAACUUGAUGAUGUACAAUAUACUGAUUUACGGGUUUGUCUGGUUUUUGCGGAAGGACCCUUUGGAAACUGAACAGAAAAGGUAAUGCUGUUUCUGGACCGCACCACCAGUUUCCAUUAGUUACAAAAACAAACUGAAACAAGUCAAUUCUUCCUUUCUAUAAAAAUUUGAAAUAUAAGUCCCUGAUGUUAACAUUAAAGGUGUUUUCAGAAAAUGAACCUCAAGAUUAGCAAUGACAUCAAGCAAGAUAAAUCACAAGGAAGAAACAUAGAGGCCAACUCCACGGCGCUAGGAUAGUACUCCUCGUACUUCAAGUCCAGCUCCUCCAAUUCCUCCCAAGCUUAUGAUGGGGACUGGUUUUACAGUGAACUGAAAUGAAAUUAAAAAAUGAAAAACUCUUUGUUAGUGUUAGAUUUCUGGAUUAUAAUAUUUUAGAUUUUGUAAGGAAGAAGAAUUUGGAAUUGGAUUUUUGGGUUUUGGAUUUUGGAUUUUCUGGCAAGAGCAGAAUUGCAGAGAGAAUUUCAGAUGAAAUGACACUUUUUUCAUUCACACAAUGAGGGUGGCCUGUCACCAGUCAACAAGAUAUAAUCCUAACUAUCCAAAUAAGUCAUCCUAUGAGAUGCUUACACAUGGUAUGAGCCAUGGCUUCUUCAAAUAAGACAACUAUAAAACUAAUGGUACACAUGGACAAUGAUCCGAUGGUCCACAUUACAAGCUCAAUAUCAAAUUCUAUAUCAAUCUUCUUAAGGAAUUAUUGUUGACACUCUAAAAAUCUCAUUUUACAUUCUAAACUUUCUAUAAUUAAAAAAAAUACACUUGUGAAGAGUAUAAAAUGAGAUAUUUGAAAUGCUAAUAACAGUUCUCUCUUCUUAAUGCAAUCAGCAAAAGUGUUUAUUCAUCAACAUUCUUAUCCACUCGCCUUUCAAUAAAUAUGGUCAUCUUGAUAUAUAUAGCUUGUGAGAUUUGAGUCAAUUGACUAAAAUAUUUUUAAAAACAAUUAAGUUGAUGAGAUAAACCGACGGUGACUUACCUACAUUUAUUAUAAGAUGGUGACAAACAAUGCCUUUUGCGGAUUUGUUUUGUGUCGUUGAAGCUCACACUUCCAAAUCCACUUGGAGCUGCCUUGUCACAAUAUUCACGUGUUCGUUUCAGGAUUUUGUGUUUGGUUGAGUUCUUCCAAAUCUUGCUUGUAUAGCAAACGAGCCCCACACUUCUUCACACGAAUCCAGUAUACUUUUUCUCCUUCCCUACUAACACCAUCAAAGUAGGUUUCGAAUAAAAACUCAUCUUGACAACAAUCUCGACGAAGCAAAUAGAAUACCCAAAGGUGUUCUGACUCUAGAGACCUUAUUUUUUUGGUCCAAAUCCUAGGGCCAUCCAUAUAAGAAAAACACCGAAUUUCGAAAUAAUCAUAGAGAUGAAGACCAGCUAGAAUGACCCAGUUUGGCGUAAGAUCUUGAAAAAGAACACAAAAGGCAAUCCCCAGCCAGUUGGUACAUGAUGGUGGAGGAAGCUCCACAUUUACUGAAUGUCCCACACUCUGAAUACUGAACCACUUUGGAAUUUCACUUCCAGGGCAUAACAUACCUCUCAUAAAAUUUGAGAUUCCCUGUAGUAGAAGAAAUAUCAAUUAUUUAGAGAGAGAGAGAGAGAGAGAGAGAGGGAGAGAUAGAAGAUCAAUUAUUUAGAGAGGAGGGGGGGGAGAGUACCUCUUGAUCAGUGGCAAAUUUUAGAAUCCUUGAGAGUAUUGUAUUAAUCCAGCCUUCAUUUGGAACCAAUGCAAUGCAAUUCAGGCAAGUGAAAUUAAAAUCAUACAAAUUGGCGAAUCUGCUAUUCAACUUGGAUGGAUCUGACAAACUUCGCAAGGAAGUACAAUUGUCUACAUCUACAUGUAAUUUGCUAUUAGAUGGAAGAGGUGGCAAUUUUUGAAGGCUUUUGCACCUCUCCAGAUCAAGAUACGAAAGCUUAGAAAGGCGUCUAAUGCUUUCAGGUAGACUGACGAAAUUAUUUCCACUAAGAUCCAAUCUUUCGAGAAAGGACAAGCAGCCAAUAUCAUCGGGGAUAUCUCCUUCACGGAGUUUACAAUCUUUUAGAGAUAACUCUGUUAACUCUGUCAAAGAGCAUAAACUAUUUAGAGAAGACAACACCAAAUCCAAACAAGGAGGAUCAGGACGACUCUUUCCAAGUCCUAGUAAGCGGAGAAGGCCCCACCCCUCCCUUGCUUUAGCAUCCGAUCCGUUACAUAAGUUAUCCAUGUCUCUUGGGAGUUUGUCAAUUUUUGAGCAUCCUUGCAUUCGGAGUCUUCUAAGAGACUUCAAAUUACAAAUAGUCGUUGGAAGCUUCAAGAGAUAUGAGCAACCAACUAGACACAACUCCUGAAGGCCAACCAAAUGUCCAAUUGAUGAAGCUAUUUUCUCUAUCGGAGUCGCACUUAAGUCAAUCGAGGACACAUUCUUCAUCUGCUCCCCAAAUUCUGGAAUCUUUUUCACAUCUGAGUUGCUAAGACUUAAAGGUUCCAGAGAAUCCAUUUUAAGCACACUUGGGAGGCUCUCAAGUUUUGAGCAGCAUUCAAAAUUCAAAAUUCAAAAGUUCAAGUUUUUUAAGAUGUGCAAUAGACGGGUGUAUCUCAACUAAAUUGAAACAACCUCGAAGAUUCAACUUCACAAGAUUUGGAACACCACUGAAAUCCGGGGUACUCUUCAAUUUACCUGAGUUGCUAAGAUCGAUCCAUCUUAAGUUGGGCAAGUCCUGUACAACAUCGAUAAGAUUCAGAUCAUAUAAAUAAAUAAAUAAAUGAUAAUUUUGUAUAUUAAAUAGCAUUUAUUCAAGGAUGAAUAAUAAUUAAGUACUCACUAGUGAGUACUCUAUAUGCUCAUUUUUGUUUUGGUUCGUGUUCUUUAUUUUUAAAGCCAAAGAAAAAUUAAAUAGCAUGUCCAUUAUUUUUGAAAAUAAUAAAAUAUACUUGUCCAAAAAGUGAGUACUGAUUAGUCACUACCCAAGUGGUAUCCUUUUAUUCAAAACUACUCUCAUCACUUAAUUUUUUUUAAUGGUAAAAAUACUACUCUUACCACUUUUCCCUCCCAUAACCGAACAAGACUGCUUCCAUACAUGUGAAGUUCAGUAAGGUGGCGCAUGUGAAAGUUGGUUGGAAGAAAAUUAGAAGGAUAUUGAAACCACCAUAUAUAUCUCAAUGAACACGGAAGAAAUUUAGGGCCUGAAGAAAAGAUCGAAUUCAAAUUAUCGACUCUCAAAAUCCUCAGUCUAUCCAUCUUAGAGAAGGCUUCCCAAUUCCACUCGACCACUUCUGAUCUAGGCAAGGUUAAUGAUAUGACUUCAAUUGCACUCAAAUCCUGACAAUUAAGGAAAAAGGACAAAUUAAUUUCACAUUCAAGUAUAAUAGUGUCAAAAGUUCUUUCAAACUUGGUAUUUAACUUCUUACCGUAUUGGUCCUGAAUACAUGAGAAAUGUCAUCAUAGAGCCACAACCUACUGCGUAGACCAGGCUCUUUAGACUUGUGGCCAAUAAUUGUCAAUGCCAUUUCUUCUAUCAAAUCAUGCAUCCGUAUGCAUUUUUGGUGAUCUUGAUAGAGGAAAGAUCUCUCAAUUAGUACAUCUAUCACAAUAUGGCUAGAGAUUCCAAAAGAAUUAGAACUAUCUAGAAUUUCAAUUACUUGCUUCCUGUAAUACCCUUUGUAGAAAC